CUACGGGACGCACCAGCUGCGAAUUUUCUACAAUGCACGAAAGUGUGAUAGAGCAAGCCAAAGUGCUUAUCUUUUUGAUAAGCUUUUUCUCGGUGUAAAAACCCGGGAGAAUAAGGACUGGGAAAGACCGGUGCCAGCCGCCGCGGUAAUACCGGCAGUUCGAGUCGCAUCCAUUUUUAUUGGGUCUAAAACAUCCGUAGCUUGUUAAUUAAGUCUCUUGUGAAAUCCCAUGUCUCAAGUAUGGGGCUUGCAGGAGAUACUGAUUAGCUAGAGAUCGGUAGACGUAAAGAGUACGGGUGAGGUAGUGGUAAAAUACGUUAAUCUCACUUGGACUAACAAUUAGCGAAGGCACUUUACGAGGACGAAUCUGACAGUGAGGGAUGAAGGCCAGGGGCGCAAAACGGAUUAGAUACCCCGGUAGUC
RNAcentral lists this ribosomal RNA (423 nucleotides) under uncultured archaeon. Its description in RNAcentral is "partial 16S ribosomal RNA". It matches the Rfam family "Archaeal small subunit ribosomal RNA", at positions 323 to 746 of the family's 1478-position model. The record is from RNAcentral.